Molecule: long non-coding RNA, 692 nt
Filed under: Lathyrus oleraceus (garden pea)
Lineage: Eukaryota; Viridiplantae; Streptophyta; Magnoliopsida; Fabales; Fabaceae
Description: Pisum sativum (pea) long non-coding RNA (PSAT_LNC006890)
Source: RNAcentral
CUUGUCAAAAGGGUUCACAUUACCACCGGCAAGUGAAUGAAGAUAUCUAACAGUACCUGCACAAGAGAUCGUCAGAUAAAAGCGUGCCCCAGGCGUUCCAAUAUUUCAACACUUAGGUCACUCAAACUUUCGAAUAAGAUUUCCAGAUUUCAAUCUCAUAAGCAUGCAUCGAAAGGGAUCUCUAUGUUUCAAAAAUGCAAAUAUUCUUAUCAAAAUAACGGAUGUUUUCGUAAUCAAAACGGUAAUGACACAAAAACAAAAUUUAUUUGACUGAACACACACUUUAUUGACUGAAACAAAAGGUGGCUCAAAACUGAGCGACGCACAGGAAGCAAACCCUGGAAAGAGGUGAUUGCAUACAAAAAGGAAAAAUCUAUCCUAAUGGCAAUGUGAAACCGUGAUCUCAUCGGGUUCCAACUCGGUCACACCUCAUAUGUCCUCAAGACUUUCCGCACUUUCUGUUUGCUGAACAAGACGCUUCCGAUCGAUCUCUGUCGGAGAUUAUCCAAAUGUAUCUUCCAAUGUUUCAAACGAUCAUGCUGGACGCAGUUGUUCGUUCAAUCCCUCUUUUGCCUGGACCGCCCUUUCGGGUUUCAGUCCACCGGGAUACCCUUUUUUGCCCAAGUCGCCCUUGCGGGGUUUUCAACUUGCCAGGUGUACAAAUUCUUUUCAUUUUAUAUCCCUAAUUUUUG